RNAcentral lists this long non-coding RNA (8321 nucleotides) under Triticum aestivum (bread wheat). RNAcentral's name for it is "long non-coding RNA (TAES_LNC011083)". The stretch from base 3075 to 3209 matches the Rfam family "MIR1120/MIR1122 microRNA precursor family". Lineage: Eukaryota; Viridiplantae; Streptophyta; Magnoliopsida; Poales; Poaceae. The record is from RNAcentral.
ACAUUCCAACUCACUUCAUAGCUCACUCACCACAGCACCCCUGGUGAAAGGACCAUGCAAGAAAGGCUGCCGUUCUGCGCGAUCAGGCCGAGAAGAGGUACUCUGUUCUCCAGAUCAGCAUUCAUGCUUAAUUAAUUACCAUCCAUUGUGGCAUUGUAUCUUGCUCCCGUCUUUGUCUUUAUUGGCUCCGUUACCUCAAGCAUUUCACAAAAUUAAACCUAGCUCCGUGAUCUAAUAACUGGUGUGGCUAUCAGCAAACGCACUUACAGGGUUUGAACCUCCUUUUUCCAAAAAAUAAAAAAACUUACACAUGUUCUUUACUUCUUUUCUGAGUGGAUCGUAAAAUUUUAUUGUUCAUUGGAGUAUGUUCAGCCGGCUGUGAACAUAUUGGCCAGUGUUCAUUCUUUUUUACUUUGCAGGUAACGAAGCCAAUCAGACAACGAAAAUGGCCGUGCUUCUACUAUUGUCAACGCUGCUCAUUUCCUAUGGAGUUGGCACCAUCGAAUGCUCCACGGUCCCUGGUAACAGCACGGACAUGCUCUCGUUGCUAGAUUCCAAAUGGGCCAUCACCAAUGAUCCGAGGCAAGCAUUGAGCUCUUGGAACGCCAGCAUCCCCCAUUGCCAAUGGGAGGGCGUCAACUGCAGCCUGACGCAGAAAGGGCGUGUCACGGUGCUCAAUCUCACCUGCCAAAAUUUGGAAGGCCAGAUUGCUCCUUCUCUUGAAAAUUUAACCUUCCUUAGAAGUCUCGACCUCCGUUCAAAUGGCUUCUUUGGCCAGUUACCCACUCUUAACCGCCUACAUAAGCUGCAGGACCUUAUUCUGGGCAAUAACAUGUUGCAGGGGUUCAACCCUGACGCAAUUGCAAACUGCUCCAGCCUCCACUAUCUAGACCUUUCUGCAAACUCCCUGAAGGGUUCGCUCCCCACAAAUAUUGGUAUCCUCUCCAGCCUUCUGUAUUUGAAAAAAAGGGCAACCUGGUGCAUGUAGCUCCCGCUUGCGCAGGGUCCAGGGAAGGGUCCGACCACUUUGGGUCUAUAGUACGCAGCCUUUCCCUACAUUUCUGUAAGAGGCUGUUUCCAGGAAUUGAACACAUGACCUCAUGGUCACAAGGCAGCAGCUUUACCACUGCGCCAAGGCUCCCCUUCUAGCCUUCUGUAUUUGAACCUUGAAGAAAAUAAUUUCUUUGGCAUCAUCCCGUCAAGCCUGCACAAUAUAACAAAUAUAAGGGAAAUUGAUCUAUCAGGUAAUCAGUUUGAAGGGAGCAUUCCGGGACAGCUUGGGCAGUUACCGAGUAUGUCUCAGUUGUAUCUAGGGGGGAAUAGGCUAUGGUAGAAUCCCAACAACAAUUUUAAACAAUUCUGCUCUAGUAGCUCUUGACUUCAAUUCAAAUUUUCUACGCAUGGAGUUGCCAUCUAACAUUGGCAAUACUCUUUCUAAACUUAUGGCAUUAUCCUUGUCCAAUAACAUGUUUCAAGGCCGAAUCCCAGACUCCCUAGGUAACAUUCUACGACUCGAGCUGAUAGAUUUCUCAUCCAACAAUUUCAAUAAUCAAGUACCUAGUUCCUUGGGGAGGCUUAUUAACCUGAACUAUUUAGGACUUGCGGAGAACAAGCUGGAAGAGAAUGACAACAAAAGUUGGGGAUUCUUAGAUGCGUUGAGCAAUUGCAGUUAUCUGGAAGUGCUCUCCUUACAAAGCAAUCAGCUGAAAGGAUCCAUACCCAAAUCAGUUGGAAAGUUGUCACCAUGCCUUGCAUAUCUAUCGUUAGAAAGAAAUUACUUGUCUGGGACAGUUCCAGACAGUAUAGGGAACCUUACUGGUUUAACUCAGUUAUCAUUAGCUCAAAACAAUCUCUCCGGUCCAAUUGGAGCAUGGAUUGAAAAAUUCAAGAACCUAGGAGUGUUAGCUCUCGCAGAGAAUAACUUUGCUGGGCCGAUUCCAUCCUCCAUUGGCAGGCUUACAAAGUUGACAAAGCUCUUCCUGAGUCGUAAUAUAUUUGAAGGUCCCAUACCACCCAGUUUAGGAAACCUUCCAUUUCUGUCAAGAUUGGAUCUUAGUGAGAACAACCUAAACGGGUAUAUUCCUUAAGGGCCCUUUUUAGGGACAUAUCCGUUAAGUGUUGGUAUGGUAAUAGAAUAACCAUCGGUGAGACAAUCCGGAAAAAAAGGAUCUGCCCCCGUGUCGUCCCCCAGCAAGGCGACUCUGGCAUCUGCUUCCCCGGCGGGCGGCCCUCCAUGCUCCGCUCCUCGUCCUCACCGCCACGAGUGGCGACGACGGGGCAACUCGGUCGGUCUCCUCUCCAUGGUGGUUGUUGGCACACUGAUGACGAUUGAUGGCGGAGAUAGGGCGCCGGGGCGGCGGCCCCUCUUCGAGGUGAUGGCGACUGCGACGGUCGUUUGGGUGGCAUCGUGGCUGGGCUUGUAGGAUACACGCGGUCCCGCCAUAGCGGCAACGGUGGGUCUGGGAGUCACCGGAUCCGUCCAGGAGUGGCUGGUCCCCGUCCCCUGGCAUGGUUGGCGUCUCGCCAAGUUUGGGCCUCCGGGGUUGCAAGCGGAAUGAUGCGGCAUCACUGACCUUUGUCCGCAGGUCUGGAAGGUCUGGACCAAGAGGGGGCGGUGUGGGGGCUGCUAGCUUCAUCCUAAUAAUGGAGGUUUGGCCCUAGGGCUCAUAUUAUCAGCCAACACGGCCUCAAGAGGGCACGCUCAAAGCUUCGAUUUCUACCGGUGUCAUGGGACAUGUCUAAGUCAAGAUUCCCGAGGCAUUGAUAGAGGAGGAGAAAGCCAUGCCGGCUUCGAUUUUCAUGACCUAACCAACUAGGGACGGCUUAGCUUAGUCUUUUCCGAGAGGCGAUUGAUGUCUGCCAACUUUUACGAUCUUGGGUAUAUCGGCCUGUAUUGUAGUGUACGUUUGGACCGUGCUUUGGCAUCUGCCGAGUGGUGUGUUGGAACAAAUAAUCAACCACUAAAAAACAUUUGCAAAUGCUGCACAAUUCCUCUCUUUUUUUUCACUUCAGGGGAAGAGAAGUUGCCUCAUGUCUGAAAAUUCUACUCUUCAUUUUGUAUUGCAGAUGUUAAAGCAUUACUCCCUCCGUCUGAAAAUACUUGUCAUCAAAAUGGAUAAAAAGGGAAGAAUCUAGAACUAAAAUAUGUCUAGAUACAUUUCCUUUUAUCCAUUUUGAUGACAAGUAUUUCCGGACGGAGGGAGUAUCUCACAUGGAAACUGAAAAUCAGGUCCCUACUUUUGCAAUCAAGAUGAUGUACAGAUUAAACUGCUAAACAUCGAUGAAAACAUGCUAAACAUCCAUGAAAAACAUGCUAAACAUCCAAAAUAUUAUUGUGAACCGCAAUCAAGAAAAGUUUGGAAAAAAUAAAAUAAAAGCAGGCAGGCAGGCACACUUUAGAAAGGGGAAACAAACUCAACUGCAGCAAUACAUCAUAUUGACAAAUGGGUGAAUAUUGACAUGCAAUAGAAUGCCUAUAUGUUUACAACACAUAGAAGAACAUAAAGCUCUUCCAUGCAUCAAACAAUCUCUCACUCUGUAUAUCUUAAUCCCUAGCUCUUUCUAGCCUACAGCUGCGGCUGUGAGGCCCACAUUCAGCAGGAAUUCACCAUUUCAUCCUGCAAAAUUUGGUAAUAUUCUGUAUCUCACGCAAACAAUUGUGGCCUAGGAAAUGCAUCAAAACUCAACUCUUCCUACUUAAUCAAUCCACUAAAAUGCGAUAUAGGGAAUGGAUGUUCCCGUCACAUAACAUCCUAAUUCCUACUUAAUCAAUCCACUAAAUAUAGUUGUAAUAGAGACCGUCCGAACUACUACCAGCUAAUAUAGGAAAUGCAUCUCAUUACUAGUGCUCUUCCAUGGUACCGGCCUCAUAGAUACCAUCCAAAAGCCUCCUGACAUCUUUCGUCACAUGGCAUUACUGUUUCAAGCAAGACAGAACAGAAGUCAGGAUGGACAUAAAUUAAGCACAUAAAAUCAAAUGGGCACCAAGAUAUAUAAGUGGAUAGUAAAACAAUGGUUAACUAUCAUGUGUCUUGUGCUCGAAACCUAAUAAAAGCUCCAGGAAUCCAUGUUAAAUGCCAUCAUACCAGAAGGUGCGCAUAUCUUACAUUAUACGGUUCAAAGUCCAGUAAUACAAAGCUUUGAUUAUAUAAGUAGAAAUGGCACACGAGUGCAAAUUACCUGCUGUUAACUAGGAUUAUUCACUGGUCCAUAUCAAAGAAAAUAUUAUGUUGUGAUAUAUCUAAAUAAGAAAUCAUGCAUAGGCCCCAGCCUGCCUGCAGAUAGUAUUCGAUCCACUAUUCAUUUAAUAUUCGAUUAUUAGACUCACAUACAUAAUAGCUUGAGCAUAGCAGUCACAGUUCAACGGUAUGAUUGAUUUUGAGAAAUAGGAAGCUAAAGUUUCAGACUGGAUGGGUUUGUGAUGCUAUUUCAGAACAAGUGGUCAACAUGAUAGCAAGGCUAGGCAUCCUUCAGUUCUUAUACAUGAUGUUUUCUACCUUUGUAGGUCCACUUGCAGAUCAGAAAAACAGUGAUACAACAGAGCGAAAGGCCUGCAAACUCACCAAACAAAUUAUUUUUCAGCACCAGCGGAAAUAACCGUAAUGCAACUGCAUAAGGAAGCAUUAAAAAAAGGUAACCAUUCUAGGGAGUCAGCUGUCAUAACCUGACACCUCCUGCUAUCGGCGCUCUGUAGCUAGUCUGAGUUCAUAUAAAUAUUACCAUCUUCGCUAAAAGUAUAACCAACUAGAACCUAUUAUUACAGAUGAAAAUAUAUUACGCAACACGGACUUAUAGACGACCCAUAGCAACACAUAAAUGAUAUUUUCGUUACAGACUGCAGACGAAGUAAGAGCAGCACAGCAUCCUUUCAAAAUCAUCUUAGAGAAAGCAUUUCAAUGAUGUUGAACUGGUUCUCUAAAAUGACGUAUGGAACCAAUCAUAUACCUAACAACAUUCUACAACUACAAUCAUACCAAACUGUGUGACAAAGGAUGCACAUCGCAAUACUAUGUAACCUCAGCCAAGAGAAGAGCACUAUACUGAUCAUCUUAAGGACAGAAAACAAACCUUGUAGGAUCAUCCUUGAGUGCAGGGAAUUUGGGGGGCCAGAACAUCAUAAAAGGAUGGAUAGGAUCAGAAGGUUCAUCUUCUGACCAUAUACGCAGUUUCCUGCACUUGAUAUCCAGAUAGAGCAAGCAUCCACUCAUCAUCAAGAACAUAAACUCAGCAUUGUCCCCCACCUCCCUUAUCCAAAUUGGAGGAUUUUGUUCAUUGUCAAUAAUGCGAUCCGACAUCCUCAAAUUAGCAACCAUGUCAUGCAAACAAAUAGUGUCCACCAAUGACCAGUUGUCCCCCUUGCAGAGCCAGAUGCGAAGCUGAAACUCCUUCAGCUUGAUGAGAUAUACACUAGAAGCAUCAUCGGCCCGUGACAACUUGGUGUUUAAACAGCCAUAGUUCACCCCUUGUGGGAACUUAAUUGCGGAGAAGCUUGUGGCUGACAAAUCCAAUAAAAGAACGCCACUCCAGGCACUCUUGUCUUGGACAAAGAAAUAGAUUUUAUUGUUGACAAGCAUAGGUUUACUGUCAUAUAGCAGAGAAGAGGUUUUAGUGGUGGCCGAGGUUUGCAUACGCCAUACACCAUCUUGCAACACAUAGACACGCACAUUGAAACAUUUUGUGUGCAUGAUAUACUCCAUUGACACAUACAAGUAGAAAAGUGUGUCGCCUUCUUCUUUGGAGAGGACUGCAUAACGAGUGUCGUAAAUGGAGUAAAUAUUGUAAUGCUGCGGGAACGGUGGGACGAUGGACAUGCUUCUCUUAGGGCAUAGUGGACGGUGCACUCGAAGAGUGACUCCUCUUGCUCCUAUGCCUCUGGUGAAGAUGCAGCCAUUCCGGAAAUCCUUGAUCGAUAUAGCGCGAUCUAACGCGCCGCCAUAGAGGGCGUAGCUUGCCACACGGCGGAUGACAUCGGCGAGCUCCGGGGGAUAUGGUGGCGGGAUGGGGAAGAACCAUGCCCCACGAUAGAAGCCAAUGAGGCGAGGAGGGUGCAGCUUACGAAAAUGACAUAGGAAGGCCGGAUCAGAGGCAUGGUGGAGCUAGCGUCUGCACACAAGGGCGGCGCGGACGAGGGUGGUGGGGAAGCUGAGGCGGAGGAGGAUCUCGAUGAGGAGGUCGUCAUUGUUGAGCACCUUCCAUACGGCUGCGUACAACACUCCCGGCGGCUUCCUCUCACCGUUCAUGUUGUGAUGGUAUCUGUGGGUUUGGGAAACAAUGUAGAACAGGGCAUUAGUACCGCCGGCUGAAUUUAGGCAACAGAAUAACCAACGGUUUGCACUAAACAAUGGCUAGUGAAUUUCAAUUAGAUCCAAAAAAAUCGGACUAAAAUACUCUAGGGUUAGCGAAUCUGAUUAAUCAACAAUCGGCAUUCAGCAAUGGCUAGUGAUUCUGAUUUGGUGGUAAAAACACUCCAAGGGUUCGGAAUCUUAUUGCAUCAAACAUGGAUCAUGGGGCUGAUGAGAACACUCCGAGGAACACAAUCAUGGAGGCAUCCAUGAAUCGAUCUGAAAAUAAGUACAUGGAUCCAGCGGGAAACCCUAGCUGCGAAGGAGGAGUACCUCAGUCCAGGUUGGUCCGGCGGGACAUCUCUCCCCGGCCGUCCGCGCCCCUCGCGCCGUCGGAAGGUGUCGCCGUCGAGAGGCGGAGAAGCGAUGGGCACGACACAAGGAGUCGGGUAUUUCCCGAUCUGGGACGCGGACGUUUGGUCUAGGGAAGUGUUUGUGGCCAGGGCGCCGGCCGAACCGUUGCGCCGGUCGCGUGCGCAGCGUAUGAUCCUUCCUUCCUGAUCCACCGGCUCCUGUUGCACCCACGCGCACAUGCUGGUGGGCCCCGACCAGUUUUUCUUUAGCUGCCAGACCGCUUUUUUCCCCUACACUUGUUUCUAUCCCUACCCGUGUCCACUCGUUUCCUCUUGCAAUCGCCAUGGACAGCCGUCGGAGCCCUGACCGGUUGAUAUCGAGCUACAACCUGCGAGUUGUUUUUUAGGGACCGGCGGGAAUUUUUGCUAGGACCGGGUGAUUGCAAGCCAUUUUUUUGCUGCAACCGGUGUUUAUUUUUGUUGCGACCAGCGAGAAUUCUUGUUUUGACCAGUGACCGGCGAGAAUUUUUACUACGACCCGGUGAUGGCCAUUUUUUUUGCUGCAACCAGCAAGAAUUUUUGUUGCGACCAGCGAGAAUUUUUGUUACGACUAGUGACCGGCGAGAAUUUUUGCUACAACCCGGUGAUGGCCAUUUUUUUUGCUGCAACCGGCGUUCAUUUUUGCUGGGACCAGCAAGAAUUUUUGUUGCGACCAACCAGCGAGUUUUUUUGUGGCUGAGAUUUUUUUUGCUAGGAUAGGGGAGAUGAUUUGCUGGGACUAGCAAGACGGAAAGCUGCAACGGGCAAGACGAUUUGUUGGGUCCAGGAGAGGCCAUGCUACAGCGAGCCUUUUUGCAUGAGCAACGACGUCGAGUUGCGACGGUGAUGCAGGGCGGCGGCACCGAGCAGGGCCGGCCUGGGGCAUGGGCGGUGGGGCGGUGUCCCAGGGCCCAGGCGGGAGGGGGGGGCCCAUGAUGUAGUACAUAUACAUACUAAUGCCCGGCAAAAAAAUGGUAAAAAAAAACGAGAUGGGCUAGGGCGCGAGGCCCAUGCGAUCGAUUACGAAGCGUUACGCUAGCGCCAGCGAUCGAUACCGGCUGCUCAUUUUCUUUUCCUUCGUCUGGAGUCUGGACGGUCGGUCUCUAAUCUCUUCGUCCUGCCUGCCGCUCGGCGCUUGGCGCCUUGCCGUCUCGGCCGCCGCUGUGCGUGCCGCAUAGCAGUCCGGUAACCCAAAGUCUGCAACGAGCCAACGAGGUAAUCCAUGAACCAUUCCAUCCGCCAGUUUCUUCAGCCCGUAUAUGUAUCCAUGAUCCAUCCAUGUUCUUGAUGACCUAAUCCAUCCCCCCAGAUCCCAAUUUGACAAUUUCAGUAGUAUGUACGUAUUCAACUAUCCACAUGUAUGUCUAGGGUUCCAAUCAUCCGAUUAUAAAUUCUUAAUUCUUUGUACCCUCUUUUCUUCAUGAUUUUAGGACAUUAUCCUGCCAUGUUGCCUAAGAAGAAGAUGUUGUUGCUGAAAAAAGGAGAAGAGAAAAAGAAAGUAUUAUUGCAUCAAGAAACAUCCAAAGAAACUUUUUUUGAAGCACUGAAGUAUUAUUGUUGUCGAUGGAGUCAGUUGAAUUUGGUUCUUAUUUGAGGUAAUCAUGGUAUGUUAGUUUUAUUUUGCCAUCUUUUUAGUAUUAUUGUUGUC